RNAcentral lists this transfer RNA (58 nucleotides) under Araneae sp. MT-2014. RNAcentral's name for it is "tRNA-Asn". The record is from RNAcentral. Lineage: Eukaryota; Metazoa; Arthropoda; Arachnida; Araneae.
UUCAUUCUAGUCUUUAAUUAAAAGACAAAUGAUUAUGCUACCUUAGCACAGUAUGAGC